GACAGAGGGUGCAAACGUUGUUCGGAAUUACUGGGCGUAAAGCGCGUGUAGGCGGCCCGGAAAGUCGGAUGUGAAAGCCCUGGGCUUAACCUAGGAAGUGCAUUCGAAACUCCCGUGGCUUGAGUUCUGGAGCGGGAAGCGGAAUUCUCGGUGUAGAGGUGAAAUUCGUAGAUAUCGAGAGGAACACCGGUGGCGAAGGCGGCUUCCUGGACAGUGACUGACGCUGAGACGCGAAAGCGUGGGGAGCAAACAGG
Molecule: ribosomal RNA, 254 nt
Filed under: uncultured bacterium
Lineage: Bacteria
Description: partial 16S ribosomal RNA
Rfam family: Bacterial small subunit ribosomal RNA
Source: RNAcentral